CAUACAUUAAUUUCCUAAUAGUCUUUUGGAAAACUCUUAUUUUACUUAUUCACGCUAUAGAUGGAAAACUUAAGAAGGUUUUGUGACCUGUUUUUGGUACACUGCUGCCAUUGUCCUGGCUGACACUUUUUAAUAUUGUCUUUGAAAAACUAAUACUUUUUUAAAUACCUUUUUGGCAGUGUGGAGUUUGCAUCAGAGGAUUUGAAGUCUCAGAUCUACUACUUACUAGGUCAUUCUGAUGACGCUGAGGACCACUGAUUUAGGAGGUGUUUGGGGAAAGACCAAUAGUCCAGCUAAAAUACAAGGUCCAUGAAGGAGAGCCAGAAUGGAAGGGCCAGAUCACUGAAGACUUUCCCCAGGCUUUGUGCUGAAUUUGAGACAUAUAACCCAUGAAUACUACACCUAGUCUAUAAAGAUCUAAAAGGAGCUCGACAAUUGUUAUUCUAGACUAUGCCCAAAAGACAGUUUCUCAAAUCAAUGAAAAUAAUUGAAUAAUUACUAAAACUUUAAAGACAAAGUGAACAGAUGAAGUGCAUACCAUCCUCCAAUUUGGUUAAAAAAAAGCCAAAUUCCUUCAUCAAAGCCAUCGUGGAAAAAAACUAAAAGGACCAGAUGGAGAACCACAGGCUGCAUGGUAAUGUUAUUAGGUGGACUCAACAACAAAACCCCAAAACUGAUCAGCAUCAUCUAAUAGCAUAUCAUAGGACUCUGUACUCAAGCUGAAAUUUUCAAGCUUUUUAUCAAUAACUUGAAUAAUGACACAUAAGACCUUCCUACCAAGAACUGUAUCUUAGAAGUAGAAUUAAGACGUUUAAUGGCAGAAGGAGAUUUAAAUUCAUGCAUUCAUACAAGGAAAAAAUUACUGAGUGAUUACUAUGUGCUAGGUGGCAAAUCCUGGGCAAUAUACAAAUAAAAAAUAUGCUAUGUCUUCAAGAAAUUUAUGACCUAGUAAAAGAGACAGACAAAUAAAUGAUUAUGCUGCAGUGUGAAAAGUGCUGCAAUAGAGAAAUGUACACAUGACUAAGAAAAACAGAAGUGUUACCUGACUCCCAGUGGAAGAUUCUAGGAAGAUUUGGGAUGUGAAAGUGAAGAUAUCAGAUAUUGAUCACCACUGUGGCUUCCCAGAGAGGAUAUAAGGGAUGCGACUACUGUGGAUAUGACUGUUCCACCUUGGGAAAGCAAGCUCUUUGGGCCAUGGUGGAUGCCUGCAAGGUCUCUCUGCAGCCAGAGUCAGGCAGAGAAAAAGAUCGACUGAUCCUUUCUGCCCUUUCUUGUUUUCUGAAGCCUUGGGUAUUUCCAAUGGGAAAUGGCUGAUGGGAUAUGAUUUGAGGUAGGCAUGAAAAUAGGUUUCAUUGUAAAAAUGUUCCAUAGUAAAUCUGUAUAACAAGAAAAGUGAAAGGUUAAGUUCUCUGUGAAAUUCAAUUCACUAUCAACAUGUUCUGCCUUUAUCAUAAAAUAAAAGCUACAGUAAGUGGCUCCACCUCUCCAGUGACAUAUCAGAGGAAGGGACUUUGGAAUCAGAGUUAGGUUACUUACUACCUUCUUUACUGAAUAUUUAACAAUAUUUCACGGAAUACAGAAGAAAUAAAUACAUUUCACCAAUUUUAAGAUGAUCUCCAAGUCUGAAUUCUAACAUAUGUAUAAGGAAUAAUAAAUUUAAAAAAAAAUUCCUUUUAAGAACUCAAUAGAUGUAAGGACAUCAAAAUACUCAAAUAAAGCAAGGUGCCUAUUUCAGAUGCUGUCAGUAUUAAAUCUCAAGGAAAUACAGUUAACACAUCACUUAACAACAGGGGAUACCUUCUGAGAAAUGUGUCGUCAGGCAAUUUCGCCAUUGUGCAAACACUAUAGAGCAUACUGAAGGGCAACAAAAUUUGCCACCCCAAAAUGUGUCUCUUUAACAUGAGGAUUAUUUUACGCUGACUAUUUUUAAGAAACAAAGACUCAAACUUUUUCUUGUUACCUCGUUCUCGACUGCCUAAAAGAAUUCAGAUUAAAAAAUCCUGUCUCAGGAACUGAGCUAUCAAUUUAGCAUAACAUGAACUAGGUGGUAGACAGGGAGGAACCUAGCAAAGCCUGUUUGUUGUAUUCCCCUCUGUGUUUUUCUGUUUCUAUGUGCCCAAGCACUUGUUUUCCAAAUGUUUGCUCCUCUUCACCUACCUGUGAAUUGAUUUCCUUCCCUUUGAAGUCCCUGACUCUUCCAAUCCCCAACAUCUUUUGAAUUUUGCUGAGGAUGGUAUUUAAGGUAAGGGCUUGGCCAUUUUGGUGAGUUAUCCGAUUUUCCUGGGUUUCUCCCAUAUACACAUGUUAUUAAACUUUUAUUUUUCUCCUGUUAAUCUGGCUCAUGUCAAUUCAAUUCCUAGACCAGCCAGAAGAACCUAGAAGGGUAAAGGAAAAUUUCUUCCUCCCCUACAGUACUUACACAAACCUAGAUGGUAUAACCUAGUACACACACAGGCUAUAUGGUACUACUCUUACAGGACGAACAUCAUAUAUGUGAUCCAUCGUCGACCAAAACAUCUUACGCAGCGUAUGACUGUAGCAAAAUCAUGAACACUUUGCUCUCUCUCUGUGGUAGGUAGAAUUCUAAGAAUGAUCUCCAUUGACUUUCAUCCUUGUAUAAUAUCCUCCCCCUUGAAUGUGGGUGGAAGUGAAAUCAGAAAGCUUCCAGCCAGAGAAGGAUUUAAUGUCUCAUUGCUGGCUUUGAAAAUUGGAGAGGGACACAAUGAGCUGAGAGUGGCUCCCUGCUGACAAUCAGCAAGAAAACAGGGCCCUCAGUCCAAUAAUCACAAGGAACUAAAUUCUGCCAACAACCUGAAUGAUCUUGGAAGCAGAUUUUUCCCUUGAGUCUCCAGAUAAGAGCCCAGUAGGCUGACACUGUGAUUUCAAACCUCUGAGACUCUGAGCAGUCUCUGAACCCAGUCAAGCCUGCUAGACUUCUGCUUUACAGAACUUUGAGAUAAUAAAUGCAUGUUGUUUUAAGUCACUAAAUUUGUGGUAAUUACACAGCAAUAGAAAACUAGUAUACUUUCUAUACAUAGUUCUUCUACCUAUCCAAAGACAUAAAGGUAAAAAAAUCUGAUUUUCUACAUUAUUACAACAAAAAGAUUUAAUUUAAAGUAUGAAGUCAAAAGAACUCAGAUUUCAUGACAGUCACCUA
Diceros bicornis minor is the source of this 3157-nucleotide long non-coding RNA. RefSeq lists it as uncharacterized. The record is from RefSeq and is a predicted model, not a curated record. Lineage: Eukaryota; Metazoa; Chordata; Mammalia; Perissodactyla; Rhinocerotidae. The transcript is spliced from 6 exons.